CUCAAGGCUCUUUUAAGAGCCACCACAUUAUCACAAGAGAGUUGAA
Acanthisitta chloris (rifleman) is the source of this 46-nucleotide regulatory RNA element. It matches the Rfam family "Histone 3' UTR stem-loop". From Rfam's summary of the family: The mRNAs of metazoan histone genes lack a poly-A tail. Lineage: Eukaryota; Metazoa; Chordata; Aves; Passeriformes; Acanthisittidae. The record is from Rfam.